Molecule: ribosomal RNA, 48 nt
Filed under: Multifurca zonaria
Lineage: Eukaryota; Fungi; Basidiomycota; Agaricomycetes; Russulales; Russulaceae
Description: partial 28S ribosomal RNA
Source: RNAcentral
GGCUUUCAAUUGAAUAGCCCAAUUUAUGAAACCUGACCUCAAAUCGGG